Molecule: long non-coding RNA, 723 nt
Filed under: Rattus norvegicus (Norway rat)
Lineage: Eukaryota; Metazoa; Chordata; Mammalia; Rodentia; Muridae
Description: long non-coding RNA NONRATT024264
Source: RNAcentral
GGAUCUUCUGGAAAGUUGCUUCAGAGCAUAGGAGAUGUGAUGUUUGUGCUCUCAGCGAAGUCUAUACUUUUUCUCAAAGAUGCACUGAUGAACAAACCAGAAAAGACAGCAUAGUCAUACAUGCUGGAUUUUGUAAGUCUCUUUCCUUCCUUUUCAGAAAGACUGGGAUGGGGUGGGGUGAACUAAGAAGUCAACCCUUGUCUUCCAUUUUUGAUUCUGGGACCACACUUCCACUCUCUUCUCUGUUCAACAUUCCAUGUCUUCUUGAGAAAGUAGACUGCAUUGAUUCCUUGGGCAACUAGCUGAAAAUAUAGACACUGCCUUUCAGGACUGGCUUGCCUAGCUGGCGUGUGAGACAGUUUCUCCCAAUUGGAUCUGAUCUGCAACUGAAGCUUCUUACCAGGGACUCAAUUUCUUAAACUCUCAAUAGUCCCAGAGCUGCUAGCAAGUAACAAAACACAUAAAAGGGCAGCAGACCUUUCUAGUCUUCCCAGACAUUCAGAGUAUUCUACGGAGACCUUGCUCAGAGCAACUCAAGGGUUCUUUGCUCCAGGGUGAUGCCAUUAUGUUGUUUCUCUUGGGGUGUUGAUACCAGGGGUUUUGGGGUGCCAGUGGAUCUAGCUUUGGUACACAUGGAAUGCAUGGCCAUGUCAAAGAGAUGUGCCCAGAGAAAUCAAUGAGUUUCCAUGAAGACCACUUCCCUCCUCUUCUUCCUCCUCCUUU